This is a non-coding RNA of Vibrio sp. MED222, 84 nucleotides long. The record is from Rfam. NCBI's taxonomy places the organism in Bacteria, Pseudomonadati, Pseudomonadota, Gammaproteobacteria, Vibrionales, Vibrionaceae.
UAGCCAUCAGGUGAUGGGGUUCCACCUAAGCUUUUGCUUCAACCGCCCGUUCUUUUGAACCGUGCUAAUGACUCCUACAGAAUC